AAGAUUUAGAAGCUAUUAUUUCAACUCCAAUUGAAAGUGACCACUCAUUUUCUGGAAGAGGGGAAAAAAAUUAUAAGAUCUAUGCCCAUCCUAUGGGAUAAGAAAUGAUGGCUGAUGGUUUACCUAAAUUCAUUCUCUUAUAUACAAGUCUAUAAUGUGCUGUUCUUUGAAUAAUAGUUUCUGAACCUUUUUUUUUCCCCUUCUUUUUGAAUGUUUCUGCCGGAAAAGUUCUGAUUUGUCAAAGUCUUUACCUUAUUUAGUUCAAAAUGUAUAUAGGGAGAAUUGGGGAGACUUUUAGGAAUUAGGAUUUAGGAUGCAUUUGUCAUGCAAG
This 331-nucleotide unclassified non-coding RNA is filed under the name Hevea brasiliensis (rubber tree). Lineage: Eukaryota; Viridiplantae; Streptophyta; Magnoliopsida; Malpighiales; Euphorbiaceae. The record is from RNAcentral.